GCAAAGUUCAAGCGUCUGCAGGCAAGGAGAGUGGGUAUCAGAUCUGCUCAUUUUCACAGACAGUGAAAUGAUGAUGACCCCUUCUGCGCAAUCGGACCCCGGAAAGCAGCCUCUUCUGCGCAAUCGGACCCCGGAAAGCAGCCUCCCUUUAAGGCUAGAAGAGCCCGGACACUUUGAAAGUGCCCUUCCUGCCCAGACGCGGGAGAAGUAAAGAGUGUGAAGGCGGAGCCACAGGACUGGCGACACCCUCUAAAGGUCCAGUCCUUGCCCGCCUUCCUACCACCUUAGGGAUUUGGCACAGAGAGCGAGAUCCCCUUCUCAAUGAAAGAGAUGUCCCUUUAAGGUUUGCUUUGCAGCCUGUGGACUUUAGCCUAAACACCGACCCGCGAAGCUGGCUUUAUUUGUCCAUGUCUCGGACAGAGCCUGGGACGCUGCCAGUGAGAUUUCAGAGACCCAAGAGCGCGAAGGGGCGGGCGAUGUGGCAAUCCGUCUGGAUGGGAAAAACGUGGAGCUGACCUAGAGGCAUUCGACGAAAACACAGGAAAUCACUCCUCUGCCGCGCUUGGACGCUGCGGCCGCCUGGGGCCACCGAGUGAGACCCGAGAAGACCUUCGAAGUGGCCAGAAGAGCGCGGCGCCGGAGUCCAGUCCUGCCAGGUCUUGCCCUCUGAACCAGCUCAUCCCGGAGCACUGCGAGCACUGCAGCCACUCCAGCCAUGGCCCUCCUGCGCCAUGACAGCCGAGGGGUCGCUGUCGCCUGCUGCUGGCUCCUCACCGGUGAGCAACUCUGCUUUCCUCUGAGCAUCUCCUGCGCGCGGGUCUUGGGGCUUGGAGCCAGGAGGGAGGUCCACAGGGCUGUGGGCCAAAGAGCAGGAGGGAGCACCUGUCUACUUUCAGGCACUACAGGUAACCUGGCCAGGUUAGCCUAUAGGAGUUUCUGCAUUUUGGUUCAUAUAAAAAUUAGUUCGGGUGUAACUUCAGGCCCUUUCAGCUCCAUGACUAAUGGUAAGGCAGUGCUUUAAACUUUAAGUAGAAUUGCCUUUUCAAAUUAAAGUUGUUUUACAAUCUUCACUGUAUUUUAGGAUUUUGUUGAAUGGUUUUGGGGGGAUGACUAGAAGGUGCCUGAUUUUUAUGCAAAAUUCCUAUCUUCAGGUUGUUCAGCAAUGAACAGUAUUGCAUUUUCUUGCUGUGUAGUAUUUAAGAUUUUUCUGCUACAAAACAAAAAAACAAGAGAGUAUUCAAGGCAAAACUGUUUCCUGUCCCUAAAUGAAGUUUCUAUGUCAGCAACCGAGAGGAGGAACAUUUUGAAACUGAGGAGUAAUGAACAUUUAUUUUGUAAAUAUCACAGCACAAGUUAUUUUUAAGAUGCAAAAUAUAGUAUUAUUACAUAAUAUGAAUUUUAAGGAGGGGAUUUAAAAUAACACUAGAAUGCAAAGUUAUAUCCAAUUUAGGUUGAUCACAGCAUUUUCUAAGGAAUUUCAAAUGAUUAAACCAUGGUCAAAACUUUUAAACCAGUUUCUGGUUGAGGAGGGAAAGUUGAAAUGGUGUCAGGAGGAAGGCAGAUAGGUGGAAGUGUAUUGGUAUCAGCUUUAGGGAAGAAAAAUCACCAAAUAAUGGCUUAACAAAUGGUUGGCUUUAGCAUAUCACUGGCAUUCACUGGUUCUGUGUUUUUGUAACUGGCAUACUUGUUAGUACUGGUAAUUUAGCACUUAACAUUACAAAGAGGGACAAGUUAGACAGUUAAGCCCUGUCUCAGAAGGCCAGGUAUUGCUAAUGUUUUGCGAAGAUCAUUCAGAAAUGUAUUAUUAGCAAGCAGAACUUUUUCCAUAGUGAGGUGGUGUAGAGAGUUAAUACUGAGUUACUGGCUUUUCAUCCAAAUAUUCUCCACUAAUCAGGAAAUGCUCCUAAUCCAAACAGUGGUAGCUUCUGAACAGCAUUACAGCUGGGAAGGGAGUUGAUUUACCAGCUACCGCCACUACCCUCUACACAUAUUUGACCUACGAUUCUUCUUCAUCCCCAUUUUUGAAGAUUGUUUCCAUUUUGUUGUUGUUGUUGAAAAUCUGAAGCUUACUAUUCAAGUUGUUUUUCAUUUUACCAAAUAAGUAAUUACUAAUACAGAAAGGAUCCAAUCAAGUUUGCAUCUCCUCUAAAAAGAAUGAAACUUUUAAAAAGGGGGAAAGGUUAACGAUUUACAGUGUCAUAUAUAUGGUGGUAUAAUAUGUCUUGAUGAAUCCUUGGAAGGGACUUAACAGAAAUAAUGCAAGAUAUUUCUGAAUUAUAAUACUUAGCUCUUCUGUGUAUAAAUAUUUAAAUUAGAAUUUCAAUAGCUAUUGAUUCAGCAGACACUUCAUAUAUACUGUGUUUAUGACCAUUUCACAACAUUAAGGAUCAGAGGUUUGAAUUUUUCCUUUCUUUUGCUGGCCUCUCCACUAGUCAUCAUAUUCUAAUAACAGCUCUUCCUUAUCAAUUGUUCAUACUUGGAAACUUCCAAUCAAUUCAGAGUAUACACUUAAUCUGCAGUUGUACUGCCACACCCACCCAUGUACACUACUGUAAAGCUUAUCUUUCUUGUUUGCUUUUUGAAACCAAACUCUAAUCCACCCUCCUAAUAUAUUGUUUUCAUUAUAUCUGAGUUUUUAGUCAGAAAUCUAUGGUGGUUCCUGGUUACCGUAGAUAAAAUCCAAAAUUCUCAACUGCCAAAAUCCAGCAUCCUAUCUCCUACUGCCCCCAUAUCAGUUUCCUCUUGGUAUUGUAACAAGGUGUCAGAUUUUCCAAUCUAAAACACUUACUAUAAUUCUAUAGGUCUUAAGUCUUCCUGGGCUAAAAUCAAGAAGUUACCAGGGUACUGAUUCUAGAGGUUCUAGGAGAAGCUAGGGGAGAAUCAGUUCCCUUGCUUCUUUCAGAUUCUAGAGUCCACCUGCUUCCCUUGACUCUUGGUCCCUUUGUUGUUCUUCAAAGCAAAUAAGGUAACAUCUCCAAACCUUUCCCUCUGGCUCUGUUUUAUUGUCACUUUUCUUUCUCUGAUGAUGACACUAUUGCCUCCCUAGAGAUCCCUGUAUGCACACUGAGCAUACCAGAAUAAUUCCCCAUCUCAAAAUCCUUAAUUUAAUCACAUCUUCCAAAGCCCUUUUGCCAUUCACAAGUUUCUGGAAUUAGGGCAUGGUCAUUUCUAGAAGACCAGUAUUAUUCCGCCUACCAUGACUCUUAAAUAAAAGUGCCUAUCAUAUCUAGUCACAAUUCCUUACUUUCUCCAUAAUCCUGUUUAUUUGCCACUAUAGAUAUGCUCUUCUAGUUUUAAGCAUGUAAUAAAGAACUCCACCCUUCCUUCCCACUAGUCCCUGCCAUCUAAACAAACUCCAGAGUUCAAAGCUGAGCACACAUCACAAGUACAAACUGCCACCAUCCCAAUAAACUUCCCAGUGCAUUUAGAAUUUCUUGAAUUAGCUUCUUUCAAUAUUUAAUUAUUUGUCAAUAUCAAAAUUCUCACUUAUGCCCAAUAGUCUUUAUUGUUAUUUUAUACAAAGUCUCAGCAUCAACUAAUAGCACAUACAGAGAAUUUAACUGAAGAAAUUUUCAUAGAGACAGUUUAGAGAGACUGUAAAGAAACAAGAACCAAAAAAUGAUGAUGGAACAACAGUGUGGAGAAAACACCUAAAGGAACAGUGGGAAGAAAAACCAUGAUUAUUCCUAGACCCAAGGAGCUUGACUCUGAACUCUUAGCUAGAGGAAGGUCACUGGACCAAAACAAUGGCUACAGGUAGAAGAGUGCAGCUAAUGACAAAAUUGAAGCCCAGCAAGAAAGUGGAUAGGGGAAAUAAGUACUUCCCUUCCCCACUACCCUGUAACAUCUUGCCCAGUCCUUACACUGGCCAUAUCCAAGUGGUUGGAUUCAGCUUUCCAGAGGACAAGAUCAAGACAGAAAAUAACAGAGAGUACCUAGUACAGUUUAAUGCUAAGCUGUAUAUGUGCAAGGCCCAGUGCCAACAACUUCAUUUGUAUUAUUUUAAUCUAAAAAAAAGUGCAAAGAUUUGGAACUAUUAUCCUUAUUGGAGAGAUGAGGAUAUCAAAGUACUGAGAUUAAUUUUAUUGGUCCAAAGUUGAGCAAAAGUAAAUGACAAAUUUAACUCAAUUCAGAUCCCUGACCUCAAAUUCAUUUUCGGAAAUAUGCUAUACAGUCUGCCUAAUGUAAGUCUACUCCCCUCUUGAUUAUCCUCUGUGAAAUUCAAAUAUAAUCAUCUAAAAAAAUUUUAAUAAGGUUCUAGUUAAUAAUGCAAGUGUUAUUUUCAUGAUUUUUUGGUGUACAGUGAAAUUAGAUGAUGAUCCACCCUACACCAAGUAUAACACAAAUAAGAAUGUUUAUUAACAUAAACACAUAGAAUUACCCUAAGUGAGUUAUGUAUGUCUCCAUACUCUAUAAACAUUUAGGGUCUUUUUCUGAGACCUUUUGCACAGGCAGGAUUCCAUGUUUGAAAUGAACUCCAGUGAGGAGAUGGCUGAAUAUGGAGAGGAAAUCACUUACCCAAACCAAAGAAAUUGUCUCCAGGGUCAGACAAUGUGAUAUUAGGAGUUAGGAGUCACCAAAGAUGCUGAAAACUUCCUUGGUCAUUAUGAUGUCUGUAAAGGUAGCAAUGAAUUUGAAGGAUUUUUGUUUGUUGUUUAGUAAAUAAGCAAUGAGAGUAAUAAAUCUAUCUGCUAUACUAGUUUACCUAUGUUUCUUCUGUGUGUCAUGAUUCAAGAUUCUAAUGCAUGAUUUGUGGGGACACAGUUCCAGAUCAAAAAGUUGACUUCUGGCCGGGAGUUGGGGGGUUACUGGGACUUGAACCCAGGGGCCCUGUAACAAACACUGAGCUACAUAUUCAGUCCUUUAUUUUUUAAUUUUUUGAGAGAGUCUUGCUAAGUUGCUGCAAACUUGAAUUCAUCCUGCCUCACCCUCCCAAACUGCUGGGAUUACAGGCAUGUGCCAUCUUGCCCAACUUGAUCCUACUUCUUUAGACAGAUGAUCCUCUGCCUUUGUUCCUCCACCUCAAUCCUAAAAACAUCCUACUGAGAUUUACAUCUUGAUAAAUUUUUAUGUCCCUUAAAAUAACUGCAGUAGAAUAAAAUAGCUCAUGUUAAAAACAGAAAAUUAUAAGAGACUAAAUACUAUUAUUACCUGUACUGUUAUUUUGUUGUUUGAAACACAAAAUGGUGUACUUGAAUUUGCAUUAAGCUAAUUGUAUUCACUCUCCAAGCAAGUACAGUAAAGCAUCAAGAGUUGAAAAUUAGAUGAAUAUAUUCCUUUUCUCAAGAUUUUUAAACUUCUUUCAGCUCCUCUGUUAUCUAUCUCCCUGAAAUUUCCUCCAAGCCAUUGCAUAAGUAGUUAUUCCAACUGUUGCUGAUCCUUAAUUCUCCACAUAAAUGUCAUUCCUAAGAAACUUCCUGGAGUAUAAUGAAACCCUUUCCCCAGGGACAGGUGUGCCAUACUUCCUUUGCUUUUAUAAUAUACCACAAUAUUUAAAUAUCUAAUUGUCAGUUUUCCAAGCCUGCUUUAUGCUCUGUUGAAAGCAGGGUCUUUGCUUAUUACCCUUAGAAUCUAGGAAUCACAAGUACCUUUUAUUGAAUGAAUUAUGAAAUAACAGACAAACUUAUGAAGUACUUAAGGAAUUAGAUUGCCCCCUUUAAUUAUAUCUUUACCCAUGUUUAUAUUUACUUGAAUUGGAAAUACCAUCAAUUGAAAAAUGCACCAAUAUUUUAUGCACCACUAAGAUAAGCACUAUCAAUCCAAUAUAUAAUUAAUAGAUUGCCAGAUGCAUCCUAGUUUCAGAGAUAUUGAAAUGUGGGGAAAAACACAUCUGAAAAUUACAAUCCAUAAUAUAAAGUAUAUCUACAUGGAAAUUUCUUCUUACACUUGAAAACUACACCUUAAGAUUUCAAAGAGGCUAAUAUAUGACACCCUUUCUGUAAACACUGUUCCUGUCCUCUUAGUUCUCUUCCAGAGUCAAGUUUGUAUCUGACUCAGGGAAUAAUUUCUCCUCUGCUACCAGCAGCCUCACAAGUUCCCAUAAACAAAGCUUCCUCUGAAUAUCUACCUUUAGAAGGGAGCUUUAGGAGAAAGAUGAUAAUAAGAAGUAAAGAAUGUUCCAGCUGUACAGAAUCAAUGACUCUAGCUUUAGAAAACUCUUCACCUUUUGUCAUGGUGCUUCACUAGGGUUUGCAUUGUGUAAGGGCCUAAUUUUAAUCUAAUCUUUUCUGACUUAAAAGGGUAAUUAAAAAGUUAACCAAAUUUUAACGGGGAAAUUCAAAUGCACACAAUGAUUGAUGUUAGGAAUUCACUGUAAGUCCCAAAACUAUAAUACUGUUUUAUCUGAACAGCAGAUCUCUGUAAAUAAACAAGAGAAAAAUCUGAAAUAACAAAAAAUCAUUGUAAUUAAAAUAUCAACAAGAGUGAAGACAUAUGCUUUUGCAUAUGAAAUAUAUGAGUUGCUUAAAUGAAUGCAAAUUUUAAAAUCACAUUAGAAUAUCAAAUGGUUAUAGUAGCUUACAUAUUUUAUUAUAAAUCAUGUACUGUUACUACAGGUUAAAU
RNAcentral lists this long non-coding RNA (6561 nucleotides) under Marmota monax (woodchuck). The record is from RNAcentral. Lineage: Eukaryota; Metazoa; Chordata; Mammalia; Rodentia; Sciuridae.